UGAGAUGGACCCUAAAAAGUCCUCUAAACA
RNAcentral lists this transfer RNA (30 nucleotides) under Gastrotheca ernestoi. RNAcentral's name for it is "partial tRNA-Phe". Lineage: Eukaryota; Metazoa; Chordata; Amphibia; Anura; Hemiphractidae. The record is from RNAcentral.